UUGGGAAUAUUGGACAAUGGGGGAAACCUUGAUCCAGUGACGCCGCGUGAAGGAAGAAGGUCUUCGGAUUGUAAACUUAUUUUAUCAGGGAAGAAAAAAAUGACUGUACCUGAAGAAGAAGCACCGGCUAACUACGUGCC
This 140-nucleotide ribosomal RNA is filed under the name uncultured bacterium. RNAcentral's name for it is "partial 16S ribosomal RNA". It matches the Rfam family "Bacterial small subunit ribosomal RNA", at positions 355 to 509 of the family's 1533-position model. The record is from RNAcentral.